ACGGCUCAGUAACACGUGGAUAACCUGCCCUUAGAACGGGGAUAAACCCGGGAAACUGGGUAUAAUACCCGAUAGAUCUCGACUGCUGGAAUGCAUCGAGAUCCAAAGCUCCGGCGUCUAAGGAUGGAUCUGCGGCCUAUCAGGUAGUAGUGGGUGUAGCGUACCUACUAGCCUACGACGGGUACGGGUUGUGAGAGCAAGAGCCCGGAGAUGGAUUCUGAGACACGAAUCCAGGCCCUACGGGGUGCAGCAGGCGCGAAAACUUUACAAUGCUGGCAACAGCGAUAAGGUGGACCUCGAGUGCCAGGUUUACAAAUCUGGCUGUCGUGAUGCCUAAAAAGCAUUGCAUAGCAAGGGCCGGGCAAGACCGGUGCCAGCCGCCGCGGUAACACCGGCGGCUCGAGUGGUAACCGUUAUUAUUGGGUCUAAAGGGUCNGUAGCCGGCCGGAUAAGUCUCUUGGGAAAUCUGGCAGCUUAACUGUCAGGCUUUCAGGAGAUACUGUCUGGCUAGAGGCCGGGAGAGGUGAGAGGUACUUCAGGGGUAGGGGUGAAAUCUUGUAAUCCUUGAAGGACCACCAGUGGCGAAGGCGUCUCACCAGAACGGACCUGACGGCAAGGGACGAAAGCUAGGGGCACGAACCGGAUUAGAUACCCGGGUAGUCCUAGCCGUAAACGAUACUCGCUAGGUGUCGGCCACGGUGCGACCGUUGUCGGUGCCGUAGGGAAGCCGUGAAGCGAGCCACCUGGGAAGUACGGCCGCAAGGCUGAAACUUAAAGGAAUUGGCGGGGGAGCAC
This 795-nucleotide ribosomal RNA is filed under the name uncultured methanogen R5. RNAcentral describes it as "bacterial SSU rRNA". It matches the Rfam family "Archaeal small subunit ribosomal RNA", at positions 85 to 879 of the family's 1478-position model. The record is from RNAcentral.